This 486-nucleotide ribosomal RNA is filed under the name Streptococcus sp. oral taxon C65. Its description in RNAcentral is "bacterial SSU rRNA". It matches the Rfam family "Bacterial small subunit ribosomal RNA", at positions 28 to 498 of the family's 1533-position model. The record is from RNAcentral. Lineage: Bacteria; Bacillati; Bacillota; Bacilli; Lactobacillales; Streptococcaceae.
GACGAACGCUGGCGGCGUGCCUAAUACAUGCAAGUAGAACGCUGAAGAGAGGAGCUUGCUCUUCUUGGAUGAGUUGCGAACGGGUGAGUAACGCGUAGGUAACCUGCCUUGUAGCGGGGGAUAACUAUUGGAAACGAUAGCUAAUACCGCAUAACAAUGGAUGACACAUGUCAUUUAUUUGAAAGGGGCAAUUGCUCCACUACAAGAUGGACCUGCGUUGUAUUAGCUAGUAGGUGAGGUAACGGCUCACCUAGGCGACGAUACAUAGCCGACCUGAGAGGGUGAUCGGCCACACUGGGACUGAGACACGGCCCAGACUCCUACGGGAGGCAGCAGUAGGGAAUCUUCGGCAAUGGGGGCAACCCUGACCGAGCAACGCCGCGUGAGUGAAGAAGGUUUUCGGAUCGUAAAGCUCUGUUGUAAGUCAAGAACGAGUGUGAGAGUGGAAAGUUCACACUGUGACGGAGCUACCAGAAAGGACGCAUC